UUUCUACUUCUGGAGACCAGAACGAUGACAUGUGUGUUGCGGUCGGUUCCAUUGUUGCAACCUCUGAUGUCUGAAGGAUGGCCCAUCACAGUCUUGACUGCAAGUCUGAUCUUCACGAAGUGAUAUACGCAAAAUAAAAUAAAAUAAAAUAAAAUGCUCGACCUCUGAUCUCGAACGCAAAUGACAUAUGCUCUGCUGUAGUGGUGCCUCUGAAGAUGGUCCAGCAGAGUCUUGAAAUGCAAAUGCAAAUGCAAAUGCCCAUCCUAAACCUGGGAGAGCUUCAAGAUUGCCCACUGGUGAACAGUCACCACUCACCACUGCCUUAGGGUUGCUGUUCACCAUUCACCAACCAGGAGAUGAGAAGUACUGCCAGGACCAUUACCUGCC
Molecule: long non-coding RNA, 387 nt
Filed under: Sorghum bicolor (sorghum)
Lineage: Eukaryota; Viridiplantae; Streptophyta; Magnoliopsida; Poales; Poaceae
Description: long non-coding RNA (SBIC_LNC016886)
Source: RNAcentral